AUGUACAACAAUCAUCAAAGUCUUUGUAGCUUUACAUCAGUCCAUCAUCCACUUUUUCAUGGAUUUUAUUGUGGAAAAAGUGGUAUGUACAACAAUCAUCAAAGUCUUUGUAGCUUUACAUCAGUCCAUCAUCCACUUUUUCAUGGAUUUUAUUGUGGAAUAAGUGGUAUGUACAACAAUCAUCAAAGUCUUUGUAGCUUUACAUCAGUCCAUCAUCCACUUUUUCAUGGAUUUUAUUGUGGAAUAAGUGUUAGUUCUUCUUUUUUUGUUGCAACGCGUGAGAACUUGAAACGCAAUGAAAGAGUGAGUACUUGCUAAUGACGUAAAAGGAAAGCUUGACUAAUGUUUUGUUGUAAUUACCGUUAGUAUAAAUACAUGUAAAUAAUUAACUCAAAAAGAUAGCGUUAAAUACUCCAGUGAUGUACUUGUAGCUUGUUUAGCUUGUAAAAUAAAAGGUUCAAAACGAA
This is a long non-coding RNA of Xenia sp. Carnegie-2017, 467 nucleotides long. RefSeq lists it as uncharacterized. The transcript has 2 exons. The record is from RefSeq and is a predicted model, not a curated record. Lineage: Eukaryota; Metazoa; Cnidaria; Anthozoa; Malacalcyonacea; Xeniidae.